GUGGGGAAUAUUGGACAAUGGGCGAAAGCCUGAUCCAGCCAUGCCGCGUGUGUGAAGAAGGUCUUCGGAUUGUAAAGCACUUUAAGUUGGGAGGAAGGGCAGUAAGUUAAUACCUUGCUGUUUUGACGUUACCAACAGAAUAAGCACCGGCUAACUUCGUGCCAGCAGCCGCGGUAAUACUAAGGGUGCAAGCGUUAAUCGGAAUUACUGGGCGUAAAGCGCGCGUAGGUGGUUCAGCAAGUUGAAGGUGAAAUCCCCGGGCUCAACCUGGGAACUGCCUCCAAAACGAGUGAGCUAGAGUACGGUAGAGGGUAGUGGAAUUUCCUGUGUAGCGGUGAAAUGCGUAGAUAUAGGAAGGAACACCAGUGGCGAAGGCGACUACCUGGACUGAUACUGACACUGAGGUGCGAAAGCGUGGGGAGCAAACAGGAUUAGAUACCCUUGUAGUCC
RNAcentral lists this ribosomal RNA (450 nucleotides) under uncultured bacterium. Its description in RNAcentral is "partial 16S ribosomal RNA". It matches the Rfam family "Bacterial small subunit ribosomal RNA", at positions 354 to 796 of the family's 1533-position model. The record is from RNAcentral.